This 3048-nucleotide long non-coding RNA is filed under the name Homo sapiens (human). RNAcentral describes it as "HSALNT0307076". The record is from RNAcentral. Lineage: Eukaryota; Metazoa; Chordata; Mammalia; Primates; Hominidae.
GAAUACCAGUCUCCUGGCGGCGGCUGGCACAGCGGAGCUGCUCUCCAAGCAGCGGGGUUCCCAGGCUGGGAAGUUUGCAUUGCCGUUUCUUUGCGGGCGGGCGGCGAGCGCCGACUGCAUGCCACCUGCGAGAGGAAGAGGCCGGUAGGUGAACCCGCAGUGACACUUGCGCAGGGGACGGACCAGCUCUGCGCGCUCUGGGAUUAAGUCAGGGGUUGCUACUUCCAGCCCAAGCUUGGUACCUCGCCUCGGGCAUUUUCUUGCAGCUAGAAGGGACGCAUGCCUCUGGCAUAAAUCCAACCAGAGAGUCACCCCUCUCAAGCUAGAUUUUUUAAAAAUCUAGAUAUUAUUUAGAUCAUUUCAGCAAAUUCUUAAUGCUUUGGCCUUUCACAGUAAGAUGUUGCUUAAUCGGCUGGAUCUCCCCACUCCUUGCCAAGGAGACUCAAUUUUGCAGUUGCCCAUAUCUGCCUAGUUAAAUCGUUGCUAUACUAAAGGUUCUGGGAGGGUGGGGACAGAAUUUCCCCGGUGCUAAUGCGGCACUGAAUCGCAGGAGGCUGCCCAUGCAUUUCUUCAGUCAUCUACAACCAAGAAUUCUCAGAGCAGUCCCUCGGCAGCCUUUUGAAGCUGUGCUAGAGCAGAAAGCUGCUAUUGUUCUCAUCUCUCAACAAGGAAAGGUUCAAACUUUGCCUCUUCAAUUUGAAAGAUUUUUUUUUUAUGGUGGUGGGGGGAGGGAUUGCAAUCUGAUACUCAAAGUUAACUUUGAGGAUUUGGAGUGGUCUCCCAGUUUAAGCUGCAGAUCAAAUCACAGAUGCCCUAACGCCUGCAUCUCAAGUCGGGGGCACUUCAUCAUUAAUACGGUGGAGUAGUCAAUCACAAGCAAUUACAACGUGGGUAACCUAGCCUGGUGACCGAGCUAGUUUACUUUCCAAGGAAGUGGGACCAUUUCCUCAACUGGAAUCCUUGAAUUAAUUUUAAACUUAAACUUCCAAAUUGGAUCAGUAUACAAUACUGGUUGUAGAACUAGGAGGAAUUUUUAAAAAUCUCAUCUAAUUCUCCCUCAUUUGGUGGGAGGAGGAAACAGCAUUUGUAUGAUAUGUAUCCUGCCUGCACAAUGCUGUGAGCUUCAGUAGAUGCUCAAUAAAUGCUCAUUGAUGUUGGGUGGUAGAGUGGAAUUGUGUGUACCAAUGUCAUCAGCGUAUGACUGGUGCCACAGAGCACACAAAUGUAGUAGGAAGUCAGAGAGGAUUGGUGAGGACUGGGGUGGUCAAAGGAGGCUUUAUCAAGGAGCUGGGGUUUGGAGGAGACUUUAAGGACCUACAGAAUUUUAACUUUAGUUAAUUUUAGUGCAAAGAAAGGAAGAAGGUGAAGGGGAAAGGGACAGUAGAAGAAAGAGAAUUCCACUUCAGUGAAAAGUUGAACAACGAUGAAGUUUUGGGUCUUUGAUCUGUUGGUGUGGACAUGGUGGGGCCAGAUUAGAGAAGUCAGAACACGGAGUUUGCCCCCAUGCUGUAUACAUUAUAGUAGGAACUUCUUCUGAGCAGGUAAAUAACGUGAGUUCAAUUCCAUGUCUGAAAGCUUCUUCCCUAGAAGGAUUGGCUUGCAGAGUCUGGAAGGAUAGAUGCAAAUGCAGUUACCUAGGUGUGGGAUGGUGAAAGUUUUGAUUGGGAACUGGUGGUAGUAGUGAAAGGAUGACUCAGCAUUUUAAAGGGGAAAAAGAGCAAAAUUUGGUGACAGGUUGGAAUAAGACAUUAAAUAAAGGGGACACUCAAAAGGACUUCUCUUUUGAGCAAAUGGUGCUGGGGCAACUGCAUAUCUACAUGUAAAACAAUGAAAUUGGACCCUUUCCUUACAACACACACACAAAUUAACUCCAAUCAUAGAUUUAAAUGUAAGAGUUAAACUCUGAAGCACUUAGAAGAAAACAAAGGAGGCUGGGUGUGGUGGCUCACACCUGUAAUCCCAGCACUUUGGGAGGCCGAAUCACAAGGUCAGGAGUUCGAGACCAGCCUGGCCAACAUGGUGAAACUCUGUCUCUACUAAAAAUACAAAAAAUUAGCUGGGCAUAGUGGCGGAUGCCUGUAAUCCCAGCUACUCAGGAGGCUGAGGCAGGAGAAUCGCUUGAACCUGGGAGGCGGAGGUUGCUGUAAGCCAAGAUCAUGCCACUGCACUACAGCCCGGGUGACAGAGUGAGACUCCAUCUCAAAAAAAAAAAGGAGUAAUCCUCAUGACCUUAGUUAGGCAAAACCUUCUUAGAUGUGACACCAAAAACACAAAUCAUAAAAGAAAAAAUGUUCAAUUGAACUUCACCACAUUUAAAACUUUUGUGCUUUAAUGAACACUGUCAAGAAAGUGAAGACAACUCACAGAAUUGGAGAAAUCAUUUGCAAAUUAUAUAUCUAAUAAAGGAGCCCUUGCAACUCAACAGUAAAAAGACAACCCAAUUUAAAACCGGAUAAAGGAUUUGGAUAAACAUUUUCCCAAGGAAGAUAUACAAAUGGCCAAUAAACACAUGAAAAGAAACCCAACAUCAUUAUAGCCAUCACUGAAAAGCAAAUUAAAACCACAGUGAGAGGAACCCCUUCACACCUACUAGGAUGACUAGAUUAUAGAAAAGAUAGUAAGUAUUGGUAAGGAUGUGGAGAACUGGAACCCUUAUACAUUGCUAAUAGGAAUGUAAAAUGGUACAGAAAACAAUUGAAAAACAAUGUGGCAAUUCCUCCAAAUGUUGAAGAUGGAAUUAUAAUUCUACUGCUAGGUAGAUACAAAGAGAAUGGAAAAUACACAUCCACAUAAAGACUUGUACAUGAAUGUUCAUAGCAGCAUUAUUCAUAGUAGCCAAAAGUUGGAAACCUAGAUGUCCAUCUCCUGAUAAAUGGAUCAUAUCUGAUAAUCUAUGUAAAGGAAUAUUAUUCAGCUAUAAAAAGGGAUGAAGUACCGAUACAUGUUACAAUAUGGAUGAACCUUGAAAACAUGCUAAAGGAAGCCAGUCACAAAAGUCACCUAUUGUAUGUUUCCAUGUAUAUGAAAUGUCUAGAAUAGAAAAAUCCA